GAUGAACGCUGGCGGCGUGCUUAACACAUGCAAGUCGAACGGAAAGGCCCUGCUUUUGUUGGGUUCUCGAGUGGCGAACGGGUGAGUAACACGUGAGUAACCUGCCCUUGUCUUUGGGAUAACUUCAGGAAACUGGGGCUAAUACCGGAUAUGAUCUCCUGCUGCAUGGUGGGGGUUGGAAAGUUUCGGCCGUUGGGGAUGGACUGGCUGGUUCUCAGCUUGUUUGGGGGGUAGGUGCUUACCAAGGCUUUGACGGGUAGCAGGCCUGGGCGGGUGACCGGCGACAAUGGGCCUAAGGGAGGGCGCAGUCGGGUAUGGGAGGCAGCAGGGGAGAACAUGGCGGAGUAGGCCGGAGCCAGAGGUAGCAACGCCGGGUUCGGAAAGACGGCCUAUUGGUUGUGAACAGCUUUCGCCGUUGAUAAAGCGGGAGUGACGGUAACGGGUAAAAAAGCAACGGCUAACUACGUG
RNAcentral lists this ribosomal RNA (468 nucleotides) under uncultured bacterium. RNAcentral's name for it is "partial 16S ribosomal RNA". It matches the Rfam family "Bacterial small subunit ribosomal RNA", at positions 28 to 507 of the family's 1533-position model. The record is from RNAcentral.